AGGUCUUGACAUCCGAUGCUAUUUCUAGAGAUAGAAAGUUACUUCGGUACAUCGGUGACAGGUGGUGCAUGAUUGUCGUCAGCUCGUGUCGUGAGAUGUUGGGUUAAGUCCCGCAACGAGCGCAACCCCUAUUGUUAGUUGCCAUCAUUCAGUUGGGCACUCUAGCGAGACUGCCGGUAAUAAACCGGAGGAAGGUGGGAUGACGUCAAAUCAUCAUGCCCCUUAUGACCUGGGCUACACACGUGCUACAAUGGUUGGUACAACGAGUUGCGAGUCGGUGACGGCGAGCUAAUCUCUUAAAGCCAAUCUCAGUUCGGAUUGUAGGCUGCAACUCGCCUACAUGAAGUCGGAAUCGCUAGUAAUCGCGGAUCAGCACGCCGCGGUGAAUACGUUCCCGGGCCUU
Molecule: ribosomal RNA, 403 nt
Filed under: uncultured Streptococcus sp.
Lineage: Bacteria; Bacillati; Bacillota; Bacilli; Lactobacillales; Streptococcaceae
Description: bacterial SSU rRNA
Rfam family: Bacterial small subunit ribosomal RNA
Source: RNAcentral